ACACUCCUGCGGGAGGCAGCAGUGGGGAAUUUUGGACAAUGGGGGCAACCCUGAUCCAGCAAUGCCGCGUGAGUGAAGAAGGCCUUCGGGUUGUAAAGCUCUUUUGUCAGGGAAGAAACGGUGGUGGCGAAUAACUACUACUAAUGACGGUACCUGAAGAAUAAGCACCGGCUAACUACGUGCCAGCAGCCGCGGUAAUACGUAGGGUGCAAGCGUUAAUCGGAAUUACUGGGCGUAAAGCGUGCGCAGGCGGUUGUGUAAGUCAGAUGUGAAAUCCCCGGGCUCAACCUGGGAAUUGCAUUUGAGACUGCACGGCUAGAGUGUGUCAGAGGGGGGUAGAAUUCCACGUGUAGCAGUGAAAUGCGUAGAUAUGUGGAGGAAUACCGAUGGCGAAGGCAGCCCCCUGGGAUAACACUGACGCUCAUGCACGAAAGCGUGGGGAGCAAACAGGAUUAGAAACCCUGGUAGUCCC
Molecule: ribosomal RNA, 472 nt
Filed under: uncultured organism
Description: partial 16S ribosomal RNA
Rfam family: Bacterial small subunit ribosomal RNA
Source: RNAcentral